Molecule: non-coding RNA, 337 nt
Organism: Paramuricea clavata
Lineage: Eukaryota; Metazoa; Cnidaria; Anthozoa; Malacalcyonacea; Plexauridae
Source: the annotation of a GenBank genome assembly
UACAAAUACUCUACCGUUAACAACAAUCCUAAAGGCCUGAUUCAUGGCCACGUGGCGGAAUUUUUCGACCGAAACGAAAUUCCUCUUUGUCUUUUUACAAUUAGUUCUGCUUGAGAGCUCAUGAAACAAAGAGAAAUUUCGAUUCGUUCGAAAAAUUUCGCCUAGUGGAAAACCGCCUUAAGGCCUUAAGGCCUUAAGGCCGGAUUCCACGAGGCGGAAUUUUUCGACCGAAACGAAAUUUCUCUUUGUCUUUUUACAAUUAGUUCUGCUCGAGAGCUCUGAAACAAAGAGAAAUUUCGAUUCGGUCGAAAAAUUUCGCCUAGUGGAAAACCGCCUU